Molecule: non-coding RNA, 230 nt
Organism: Lupinus angustifolius (narrow-leaved blue lupine)
Lineage: Eukaryota; Viridiplantae; Streptophyta; Magnoliopsida; Fabales; Fabaceae
Source: Rfam
CGUUGAACUUUUAUAAAAAAGUAAUAUAAAUGAAUGAUGAAUAAUAAAGUAUCUAUGUAUAAAUCUUUAUACUGACAAUGUAUAGCAACUUUUCGAACUGCUUCUGAAUCCACGGGCAGGCAAGAGACAACCUGGCGAACUGAAACAUCUUAGUAGCCAGAGGAAAAGAAAGCAAAAGCGAUUCCCGUAGUAGCGGCGAGCGAAAUGCAUUUUAAAAACAGCUUCUCCGA